Molecule: ribosomal RNA, 794 nt
Filed under: uncultured Neocallimastigales
Lineage: Eukaryota; Fungi; Neocallimastigomycota; Neocallimastigomycetes; Neocallimastigales
Description: partial large subunit ribosomal RNA
Rfam family: Eukaryotic large subunit ribosomal RNA
Source: RNAcentral
CCAUAGCGACUAUCGUGGCAUAUCAAUAAGCGGAGGAAAAGAAACUAACAAGGAUUCCCUUAGUAACGGCGAGUGAAGCGGGAAGAGCUCAAAUUUGAAAUCUUCAAGGUUUUACCUUGACGAAUUGUAGUUUAAAGAAGUGUUUUCUGUUGGAGUUUUGGUAAAAGUUCUUUGGAAUAGGACAUCAUAGAGGGUGAGAAUCCCGUAUUUGACCAUUAUUUCCAGCUGUGUGAUACACUUUCAAAGAGUCGGAUUGUUUGGGAAUGCAGUCCAAAAUGGGUGGUAAAUUUCAUCUAAAGCUAAAUAUUGGCGAGAGACCGAUAGCGAACAAGUACCGUGAGGGAAAGAUGAAAAGAACUUUGAAAAGAGAGUUAAACAGUACGUGAAAUUGUCAAAAGGGAAGCGUUUUGACACCAGUGUUGUUUAGUUGAAAAUCAAUUCAAUAAUUUUUGAUUUUGAGUAGUAUUGACUUCAUCAGCUUGCUGCUUUCUUUUCGGAAAUUAUUGAAUGCACUUUUCAGUUAACAAGUCAACAUCAAUUUUCUUUUGUUGUAAAAGGGUCAUUGAGGAAGGUGGCUUUACGCUUUCGGAGUAAAGUGUUUAUAGCCUUUUAUCCUCUGCAACUCGGAGAGACUGAGGUACAUGCAGCGUAGACUCCUUCGGGGGUUAGAUACACUUUGUGCUAAGCUAUAGCCUUUGUAUAGACAACUUGUUGACUAUGAUUUAGUCAUUGUAGGCUUACUCGCUUGAUGCUAUUUUACCUACGCUUAGGAUGUUGAUAGUCACAGCGUGUAC